UGGAAGUGUAAGCCUAAUAAACCUUUCC
Molecule: non-coding RNA, 28 nt
Filed under: Mus musculus (house mouse)
Lineage: Eukaryota; Metazoa; Chordata; Mammalia; Rodentia; Muridae
Source: RNAcentral